Molecule: long non-coding RNA, 533 nt
Organism: Triticum dicoccoides
Lineage: Eukaryota; Viridiplantae; Streptophyta; Magnoliopsida; Poales; Poaceae
Exons: 3
Source: RefSeq, a predicted model, not a curated record
UCUAAUUUUGGUCGCUCUUGUGAGUAUUUAUUCCAAUCAUAUCCCAUAUCCGCUGAAACUGAAGGUGAUCCGGCUACCAUGUCAUGGAUUCAGGGUAGUGUGUGGGAUUUCCAGUAGAAGAGUAGCUACUCACAAGCUUGAUGCCGCAAAGGCAUCUUCCUACUCUUCUGAGAACUUCCACCAAUAAGCUCCACGCGCUCCUGCACCUUCUUAUGAGUCAAUAGAAGAGUAGCUACUCACCUUCCUAUGUCUCUGUCAUGUAGUUUCUAACGAUCUUUUAUGUGCCAUGUCGGCAAGGCCACAAGGGUGAUUGAUAAAAAAUCCAAGCAGGCUCCAUGUGAGGUGAAUCAAGAAAUCAUCUCUACUUAAGUCCAAGAGGUCACCAGGUGAAGGGAUGGAUAAACUAUCAUGUUGCAUUAAUUUGGAGCUAUGAAACUGCCUAUUACAUUGGAACUUGGUGAAGAAGUCGUAUUUGAGUAUGUUGACAUUGGCAAAAGGUACAUGCCGCAUGCUGAGACAUAUAUUCGUUGUGU